GCACCAUUCGUCUAGCGGUCUAGGACACGGCCCUUUCACGGUCGUAACACGAGUUCAAAUCUCGUAUGGUGUACCA
Molecule: transfer RNA, 76 nt
Filed under: Salmonella enterica
Lineage: Bacteria; Pseudomonadati; Pseudomonadota; Gammaproteobacteria; Enterobacterales; Enterobacteriaceae
Also listed under: 2 other names
Description: tRNA-Glu
Rfam family: tRNA
About the family: Transfer RNA (tRNA) molecules are approximately 80 nucleotides in length.
Source: RNAcentral